AUUGAACGCUGGCGGCAGGCCUAACACAUGCAAGUCGAGCGGAUGAAGGGAGCUUGCUCCUGGAUUCAGCGGCGGACGGGUGAGUAAUGCCUAGGAAUCUGCCUGGUAGUGGGGGAUAACGUCCGCAAACGGGCGCUAAUACCGCAUACGUCGUGAGGGAGAAAGUGGGGGAUCUUCGGACCUCACGCUAUCAGAUGAGCCGAGGUCGGAUUAGCUAGUUGGUGGGGUAAAGGCCUACCAAGGCGACGAUCCGUAACUGGUCUGAGAGGAUGAUCAGUCACACUGGAACUGAGACACGGUCCAGACUCCUACGGGAGGCAGCAGUGGGGAAUAUUGGGCAAUGGGCGAAAGCAUGGUCCAGCCGGGCCGCGUGUGUGAAGAAGGUCUUCGGAUUGUAAAGCACUUUAAGUUGGGAGGAAGGGCAGUAAGUUAAUACCUUGCUGUUUUGACGUUACCAACAGAAUAAGCACCGGCUAACUUCGUG
This 484-nucleotide ribosomal RNA is filed under the name uncultured bacterium. RNAcentral describes it as "partial 16S ribosomal RNA". It matches the Rfam family "Bacterial small subunit ribosomal RNA", at positions 30 to 507 of the family's 1533-position model. The record is from RNAcentral.